RNAcentral lists this ribosomal RNA (256 nucleotides) under uncultured Leptotrichia sp. Its description in RNAcentral is "partial 16S ribosomal RNA". It matches the Rfam family "Bacterial small subunit ribosomal RNA", at positions 99 to 355 of the family's 1533-position model. Lineage: Bacteria; Fusobacteriati; Fusobacteriota; Fusobacteriia; Fusobacteriales; Leptotrichiaceae. The record is from RNAcentral.
CGGACGGGUGAGUAACGCGUAAAGAACUUGCCCUUUAGACUGGGAUAACAGAGGGAAACUUCUGAUAAUACUGGAUAAGUUAGUAUAUCGCAUGAUAUGCAAAUGAAAGCUACGGCACUAAAGGAGAGCUUUGCGUCCUAUUAGCUAGUUGGUAAGGUAAGAGCUUACCAAGGCGAUGAUAGGUAGCCGGCCUGAGAGGGUGGACGGCCACAAGGGGACUGAGAUACGGUCCAAACUCCUACGGGAGGCAGCAGCU